RNAcentral lists this small RNA (2542 nucleotides) under Pongo abelii (Sumatran orangutan). Its description in RNAcentral is "processed transcript". Lineage: Eukaryota; Metazoa; Chordata; Mammalia; Primates; Hominidae. The record is from RNAcentral.
UAUAAAAUAAAGUAGGUGCUGGUUUAAUACAGACACCUCCUUUUCAUUCCCCUUUCAAAAACUAAUUGGUAAAAUUAAAUGCAGUAGGAUGCUCUGCCCUCUGUGCCUUCUUGAAUCCAAGUUUCCUUUGGAGCCGCCUGGCACAGCAAGCAGGUAAAGCCAGCUCUCAACAGACUCCUCCAGGUGCUUCCUUUCUGGUGCAGGGUUGAUUAGGCAGAAAUGGAAUGUCUCAGCUCAGCCCUUAGGGUAAGACCCUAGCAGAAUUGGAUAUCAAGAAAAGGACACAAGCGAGUGGUAGACCAGAAAAGCGGGAGACUGCUGGGCUUUGGGAGCAAAUGUGUCAGCAUGAGGCUGUUCAUUCUAUUUGCUGGAAUAUAAUGCUGCCACAGAGACCCCACACAACAGUGGUUUAUAUGAGGUAUGUCUUUCUGUCGCAUGACAAUCCCAGCUCCAGCAGUCCAUGGCUAGGACGGUGCCUCCUACUAUCCUACCAUGUCACUAUCUGAUCACGCUUCCCCCAGCCUGCCCCCAUCCAUGAUGCCCACCGGACCUUCGAGGGUUGCCCUCAUCCAAGGGACCUGGGACAGCCUGCCACCACAAACACAUGCCGCCAGCAGGUUGACAGAAGAAGGGCUCCUUGCCUUUAAGGGCACACAGGCCAUUUCUGCUCACACAUCCCACCAGCCAGACUGUGAUCACAAGGCCUCUGCUGGCUGCAAGGAAGCUGGGACAUGCAGUCUUGAUGCUAUGUGGCCACAGGCUCAAUAAAAAUUAUUUUACUCUGGAAGGAGGGAGAACUACUAUGAGUUUACCAGGAACAGCUUCUGCUCACAUAUAUCCAGGAAGAAUCUGGUCUCCAAGACGAUUCAGAGCUAAACAAAAAAAUCAAACAGCAGCAGCGUGGUUAACAACACGAAGCAACCGUGACCAUGAGAACAGAAGCAGGCAAGAAAAGACUUAUGUGUCAGCAAGGACACAGGCAGGGUGAAGGUGGACAGUUCAGAAACAAAAGAAACAGCAGAAGGUACUCGCUUUGCAAAAUCAAACCAGUCUCAUAGAAGAGCAGCCAAAGGACAAAAGCAAUUAUACCUCAUUUAAAUCACCACAUUAGUUCCAUAGCCUGUGAGCGCAGCUAAAUGGUACAAUCUAAUGCUUAGCAAUGAGUUAGUUUGUUCAUGUAACUUCAGGUUUCAAGAUGCCCUGUCAACUCCACCAAGUCAUCGUUGCUCGGUUUGCAGAUGACCAGCUCAUCAUCGAUUUUGAUAAUUUUGUUCGGUGUUUGGUUCGGCUGGAAACGCUAUUCAAGAUAUUUAAGCAGCUGGAUCCCGAGAACACUGGAACAAUAGAGCUCGACCUUAUCUCUUGGCUCUGUUUCUCCGUACUUUGAAGUUACAACUAAUCUGCCUGAAGACUUCUCAUGAUGGAAAAUCAGCCAAGGAUUAAGCUUCCAUAGAAAAACACUUUGUAUCUGGACCUCAAAAUUAUGGGAACAUUUACUUAAACGGAUGAUCAUAGCUGAAAAUAAUGAUACUGUCAAUUUGAGAUAGCAGAAGUUUCACACAUCAAAGUAAAAGAUUUGCAUAUCAUUAUACUAAAUGCAAAUGAGUCGCUUAACCCUUGACAAGCUCAAAGAAAGCUUUAAAUCUGUAAAUAGUAUACACUUUUUACUUUUACACACUUUCCUGUUCAUAGCAAUAUUAAAUCAGGAAAAAAAAAAUGCAGGGAGUUAUUUAACAGCUGAGCAAAAACAUUGAGUCACUCUCAAGGGACACGAGGCCCUUGCAGGGAAUAUUUAAAGCAACUUCAAGUUUGAAAUGCAGCUGUUGAUUCUACCAAACAACAGUCCAAGAUUACCAUUUCCCAUGAGCAAACUGGGAAACAUGGUAUAUCAUGAAGUAAUCUUGUCAAGGCAUCUAGAGUCCAGGUGAGAAGACUCACCUCUGUCGCUUGGGUUAAACAAGAGACAGGUUUUAUAGAAUACUGAUUGGUAAUAGUAAAUCGUUCUCCUUACACUCAAGUUCUUGACCCUAUUCGGCCUUAUAAAUCUGGUCUUACAAAGACCAAAGGGAUCCUGUGCUUGAUCAACUGAACCAGUAUGCCAAAACCAGGCAUCCAAUUUGCAAACCAAUUAUGAUAAAGGACAAAAUAAGCUGUUUGCCACCUCAAAACGUUAUGAACUUCAUCACCACUAGUGUCUGUCCAUGGAGUUAGAGGGGACAUUGCUUAGAAGUUCUUAUAGAAAGGACACAAGUUUGUUUCCUGGCUUUACCUUGGGAAAAUGCUAGCAACAUUAUAGAAAUUUUGCCUUGUUGCCUUAUCUUCUUCCAAAUGUACUGUUAAAUAAAAAUAAAGGGUUACCCCAUGCAAUCACACCAUGCCAUGUUUUCCUUCCUGGAGGGCAGCCCCACAGGACGGUUUAUGAGCACACAUGAUUAUAGCUUGUUUCUACUUUAACAAGGUGUGCUCCCUCUAAAUUCAUGUAUUCAAAGGAAAUCUUGCCUAUAAUUAAAAUGCGGAACUAUAAAAUUUUUUUAAAAUCCAA